GACGAACGCUGGCGGCGCGCCUAACACAUGCAAGUCGAACGAGCGAGAGAGAGCUUGCUUUCUCGAGCGAGUGGCGAACGGGUGAGUAACGCGUGAGGAACCUGCCUCAAAGAGGGGGACAACAGUUGGAAACGACUGCUAAUACCGCAUAAGCCCACGGUGCCGCAUGGCACAGAGGGAAAAGGAGCAAUCCGCUUUGAGAUGGCCUCGCGUCCGAUUAGCUAGUUGGUGAGGUAACGGCCCACCAAGGCGACGAUCGGUAGCCGGACUGAGAGGUUGAACGGCCACAUUGGGACUGAGACACGGCCCAGACUCCUACGGGAGGCAGCAGUGGGGAAUAUUGCACAAUGGGGGAAACCCUGAUGCAGCGACGCCGCGUGGAGGAAGAAGGUCUUCGGAUUGUAAACUCCUGUUGUUGGGGAAGAUAAUGACGGUACCCAACAAGGAAGUGACGGCUAACUACGUGCCAGCAGCCGCGGUAAAACGUAGGUCACAAGCGUUGUCCGGAAUUACUGGGUGUAAAGGGAGCGCAGGCGGGAAGACAAGUUGGAAGUGAAAUCUAUGGGCUCAACCCAUAAACUGCUUUCAAAACUGUUUUUCUUGAGUAGUGCAGAGGUAGGCGGAAUUCCCGGUGUAGCGGUGGAAUGCGUAGAUAUCGGGAGGAACACCAGUGGCGAAGGCGGCCUACUGGGCACCAACUGACGCUGAGGCUCGAAAGUGUGGGUAGCAAACAGGAUUAGAUACCCUGGUAGUCCACACCGUAAACGAUGAUUACUAGGUGUUGGAGGAUUGACCCCUUCAGUGCCGCAGUUAACACAAUAAGUAAUCCACCUGGGGAGUACGACCGCAAGGUUGAAACUCAAAGGAAUUGACGGGGGCCCGCACAAGCAGUGGAGUAUGUGGUUUAAUUCGACGCAACGCGAAGAACCUUACCAAGUCUUGACAUCCCUUGACAGACAUAGAAAUAUGUUUUCUCUUCGGAGCAAGGAGACAGGUGGUGCAUGGUUGUCGUCAGCUCGUGUCGUGAGAUGUUGGGUUAAGUCCCGCAACGAGCGCAACCCUUAUGGUCAGUUACUACGCAAGAGGACUCUGGCCAGACUGCCGUUGACAAAACGGAGGAAGGUGGGGAUGACGUCAAAUCAUCAUGCCCUUUAUGACUUGGGCUACACACGUACUACAAUGGCGUUAAACAAAGAGAAGCAAGACCGCGAGGUGGAGCAAAACUCAGAAACAACGUCCCAGUUCGGACUGCAGGCUGCAACUCGCCUGCACGAAGUCGGAAUUGCUAGUAAUCGUGGAUCAGCAUGCCACGGUGAAUACGUUCCCGGGCCU
This 1332-nucleotide ribosomal RNA is filed under the name uncultured bacterium. Its description in RNAcentral is "bacterial SSU rRNA". It matches the Rfam family "Bacterial small subunit ribosomal RNA", at positions 28 to 1381 of the family's 1533-position model. The record is from RNAcentral.